GUCCGCGGCCCAUCAGCUAGUUGGCGGUGUAAUAGACCACCAAGGCUAAGACGGGUAGGCUGGUCUGAGAGGAUGACCAGCCACACUGGGACUGAGACACGGCCCCAGACUCCUACGGGAGGCAGCAGUGGGGAAUAUUGGACAAUGGGCGAAAGCCUGAUCCAGCCAUGCCGCGUGAGUGAUGAAGGUCUUCGGAUCGUAAAAGCUCUGUGGGAAGGGACGAAAAAGCCUAACCUAAUACGUUAGGUCUUGACGGUACCUUCUUAGCAAGCACCGGCUAACUCCGUGCCAGCAGCCGCGGUAAUACGGAGGGUGCAAACGUUGCUCGGAAUUAUUGGGCGUAAAGCGCACGUAGGCGGUCCGCUAAGUCGGAUGUGAAAGCCCUCGGCUUAACCGAGGAAGUGCAUCCGAAACUGACGGGCUAGAGUACGGAAGAGGGUUUCGGAAUUCCCGGUGUAGAGGUGAAAUUCGUAGAUAUCGGGAGGAACGACCAGUGGCGAAGGCGGAAAACCUGGGCCGAUACUGACGCUGAGGUGCGAAAGCGU
This 545-nucleotide ribosomal RNA is filed under the name uncultured bacterium. Its description in RNAcentral is "bacterial SSU rRNA". It matches the Rfam family "Bacterial small subunit ribosomal RNA", at positions 229 to 762 of the family's 1533-position model. The record is from RNAcentral.